RNAcentral lists this ribosomal RNA (868 nucleotides) under uncultured archaeon. RNAcentral's name for it is "bacterial SSU rRNA". It matches the Rfam family "Archaeal small subunit ribosomal RNA", at positions 1 to 878 of the family's 1478-position model. The record is from RNAcentral.
UUCCGGUUGAUCCCGCCGGACCCGACUGCUAUCAGAGUGGGACUAAGCCAUGCGAGUCGACGUAGCAAUGCGUGGCGAACGGCUCAGUAACACGUAGUCAACAUGCCCAGGGGACGUGGAUAACCUCGGGAAACUGAGAAUAAACCACGAUAGGUCACGAUUUCUGGAAUGGAUCAUGGCCUAAAUCUACAUGGCCCCUGGAUUGGACUGCGGCCGAUCAGGCUGUUGGUGAGGUAAUGGCCCACCAAACCUAUAACCGGUACGGGCUCUGAGAGGAGAAGCCCGGAGAUGGGCACUGAGACAAGGGCCCAGGCCCUAUGGGGCGCAGCAGGCGCGAAACCUCUGCAAUAGGCGAAAGCCUGACAGGGUUACUCUGAGUGAUUUCCGCUAAGGGGAUCUUUUGGCACCUCUAAAAAUGGUGCAGAAUAAGGGGUGGGCAAGUCUGGUGUCAGCCGCCGCGGUAAUACCAGCACCCCGAGUGGUCGGGACGAUUAUUGGGCCUAAAGCAUCCGUAGCCGGUUCUGCAAGUCUUCCGUUAAAUCCAGCCGCUCAACGGAUGGGCCGCGGAGGAUACUACAGGACUAGGAGGCGGGAGAGGCAAGCGGUACUCAGUGGGUAGGGGUAAAAUCCUUUGAUCCAUUGAAGACCACCAGUGGCGAAGGCGGCUUGCCAGAACGCGCUCGACGGUGAGGGAUGAAAGCUGGGGGAGCAAACCGGAUUAGAUACCCGGGUAGUCCCAGCUGUAAACGAUGCAGACUCGGUGAUGGGCUAGCCUUGUGCCAGCCCAGUGCCGCAGGGAAGCCGUUAAGUCUGCCGCCUGGGGAGUACGGUCGCAAGACUGAAAACUAAAGGAAUUGGCGGGGGAGCA